UAUAAUCAAAAUUUCCAAUAAGUUCAUACAUAAUUCAAAAACCCCCAUAAAACAAAUUAUAAUAAAACUAGAAAAACGGGCAGAGAAAAAGACAGAGGACCCACGAUUGAAUUCAGUGAAUGGGUAAGAACAAGAUAUAGCAGAUCUACAAUCUACACUUUCAGAUGUCAAUAAAUGUAUUAAAACAUCUACACUUUCAGAUGUCAAUAAAUGUAUUAAAACAUUCUGUUGAAUAUAUAUUUCGUCACUGAUUAUAUAAAUCAAUCAUUUAGUGAAUGUUAAAG
RNAcentral lists this long non-coding RNA (284 nucleotides) under Olea europaea (common olive). RNAcentral's name for it is "long non-coding RNA (OEUR_LNC001739)". Lineage: Eukaryota; Viridiplantae; Streptophyta; Magnoliopsida; Lamiales; Oleaceae. The record is from RNAcentral.